AGCAUAUUUUUGAAUCUAUGGCACGAAGAAUUAAUGAAGUUCUGAAGGCAAAAGGAUGUCCAACACAGCACUAGGAAGGAGAUAAAGUGAGUACUCAAGUAUAUACUCACUCACCACUAAUCUCUGAGUAUAAAUAUCUAUAAUGAGCCAACCUUUAUUUACAGGGACUGCAGUCUCUUUCACACCAGCAGGAGACAAAGGCAGCUUUGUGUGCAGCAUUAGUGCAGAUUUUACUUUAAAAACAAAAAAACACAAAUGUCUGAGCUAUUUUUUGGUCUCAGUACUUCCUGAGAUUUUAUCACAUGACAAAAAAAGGGAAGUUAAUCAGUUAAAGUAAUGCUGUGUGACUUAUUUAUAAUAAAUACUGUUCCACUUUGAUACACUUCAUUUCAAUCUGGAACUGGCCCAUUCAUGAUGACUUUAAUAUGAGUCAUUAAAUCUUUUAUUCUCAGAAUCAAGGGAGGCAGAUCUUUCUGAAAAAAAACCUCAGUCAUACAGGAAAUGAUUUUUUUCUAGAUCUUUAAGCAAAAACAGAACUUUGUCCGGUAGAGGAGGAAAAAAAACAGAAGAAAAAAUGCUUGCAUGAGCAGUGUUAGCCACCACAGAAAUCAGGAAACAGACUGCCCCAUACUGUCUGACUGGGAAGUGAUCUCUGGGAGGUGAUUCAACCAAAUAAUAGGAAUAAAAAAAACUAAACAAAAUAGAGAGAAGUUAAAGAUAUAACCUUAACAAAAUCCUCCUGGUUUGGGUUUAAAGAAUCGACAAUUAAGUCCACAUUUAUUUCAUGCAUUACUGAGGCAACAACACCUGUCCUACCUCCCCCUUUAAUGACCUCUGCCCAUCGCCAGCUUCAGCUAAGCAAUGUGCUGACAAAGUAUGUGCAUACAGAGAUGGUCAGUCUACCUCUCAUACAUAUUUAUACACAAUAAUGGGUUUAUAACUUAAAGGAUUCCAGUCUGUCACCAUUAUUAUGAAUUAUUCAACAAUCACAAAUGGCUAUACGGUAGAUGGGCCAAACGCUGUGCGAUGAAAAUUCAUUUUAUUUGGCUGGGCUCGGGUUUCGGUGAAUUUACGUCGUCUGCGUUUUCUCAGCUUUUCUCUCCUAUUCAUGCAUCAUCUUUGUGUGCAAGCUUCCUC
Long non-coding RNA from Astatotilapia calliptera (eastern happy), 1137 nucleotides. NCBI's taxonomy places the organism in Eukaryota, Metazoa, Chordata, Actinopteri, Cichliformes, Cichlidae. The record is from Ensembl.